GCCUCGGUAGUCCAGCGGAAGAGACACGCCGCUCAAACCGGCGCCAGCGUGGGUUCGAAUCCCACCCGGGGCA
Molecule: transfer RNA, 73 nt
Filed under: Kitasatospora aureofaciens
Lineage: Bacteria; Bacillati; Actinomycetota; Actinomycetes; Kitasatosporales; Streptomycetaceae
Also listed under: 2 other names
Description: tRNA-Leu
Rfam family: tRNA
About the family: Transfer RNA (tRNA) molecules are approximately 80 nucleotides in length. Their secondary structure includes four short double-helical elements and three loops (D, anti-codon, and T loops).
Source: RNAcentral